GAAUAUUGGACAAUGGGCGAAAGCCUGAUCCAGCCAUGCCGCGUGUGUGAAGAAGGUCUUCGGAUUGUAAAGCACUUUAGGUUGGGAGGAAGGGCAGUAAGCGAAUACCUUGCUGUUUUGAUGUUACGGACAGCGUAAGCACCGGCUAAGUGUGUGCAGAGCGCCGCGGUAAUACAGGGGGUGCAAGCGGUCAUCGGAAGUACGGGGCGUAAAGCGCGCGUAGGUGGUUCGUUAAGUUGGAUGUGAAAUCCCCGGGCUCAACCUGGGAACUGCAUCCAAAACUGGCGAGCUAGAGUAGGGCAGAGGGUGGUGGAAUUUCCUGUGUAGCGGUGAAAUGCGUAGAUAUAGGAAGGAACAACAGUGGCGAAGGCGACCACCUGGGCUCAUACUGACACUGAGGUGCGAAAGCGUGGGGAGCAAACAGG
This 425-nucleotide ribosomal RNA is filed under the name uncultured bacterium. RNAcentral describes it as "partial 16S ribosomal RNA". It matches the Rfam family "Bacterial small subunit ribosomal RNA", at positions 359 to 776 of the family's 1533-position model. The record is from RNAcentral.